UAACCGGCUUUGAAAUGACAA
This 21-nucleotide non-coding RNA is filed under the name Caenorhabditis elegans. The record is from RNAcentral. Lineage: Eukaryota; Metazoa; Nematoda; Chromadorea; Rhabditida; Rhabditidae.